GACGAACGCUGGCGGCGCGCUUAACACAUGCAAGUCGAACGGAAAGGCCUGCUUUCCCUUGUGGAUUGCGGGUACUCGAGUGGCGAACGGGUGAGUAACACGUGAGUGAUCUGCCCCCAACUUGGGUAUAAGCCUGGGAAACUGGGUCUAAUUCCCGAUAGGACUGCAGGGUGGUGCCUGUGGUGGAAAACGAUUUUCUAGUGGUUGGGGAUGAGCUCGCGGCCUAUCAGCUUGUUGGUGGGGUAAUGGCCUACCAAGGCGGCGACGGGUAGCCGGCCUGAGAGGGUGGACGGCCACAUUGGGACUGGGAUACGGCCCAGACUCCUACGGGAGGCAGCAGUGGGGAAUAUUGCACAAUGGGCGGAAGCCCGAUGCAGCGACGCCGCGUGGGGGAUGACGGCCUUCGGGUUGUAAACUCCUUUCGACCGCGAGGAAGCCACCUGGUUGGAAGGGUGGUGACGGUAGUGGUAGAAGAAGCACCGGCUAACUACGUG
RNAcentral lists this ribosomal RNA (494 nucleotides) under uncultured bacterium. Its description in RNAcentral is "partial 16S ribosomal RNA". It matches the Rfam family "Bacterial small subunit ribosomal RNA", at positions 28 to 507 of the family's 1533-position model. The record is from RNAcentral.